AGGGUGUGCUGGUACUAUCACUUCCCCAUUUAUCAAAAGCUGUGUUUUAUCUCUUAUGUGUCUCAGAAGUUAUGGUGCAUAACACCUUUCUCUGGGGUGCAGGAUUACACAGAACCAAAGAACAGUAAAAGUGAGCUACUCCGUUUUUUGUGACAGGUGCAUGUGGACCACGUUCCUGGGCACAGCAAAUGGACAGAAGGGAGUUGAGAUGCUCCAGGUGGGGCCACCUCUCCUUGGGUGAAUUGUGGCCAGGCCCUCUUCGUAGGGUCUUUAAGUACCUCUCUUUGUGUGCCAGGCAGCUCCCACCAUGUACCCUGCCUAUGAGCAACUGAAUCCUGGCUGGAGCCACAUUAGGAAAAAUCAGUUGUGGGGAUGGGGUGAGUGUCUGCUUCUCCCCCCAGAUUUAUGACUCUGGUGGAAGUUCCUGUCACCCCUCACUCAGCACCUGUGUUUCCAGCCACUUCUCUAUUGUUGUUAUUUCCAAGUGAUGACUGACUGAAUCUCUGCUAAUGCAGCAAGCGGGCUGGGGCUGCUCCAGGUGCAUGCUCCAACUCUCCAAAAUGUCCACUGGCCACAGAAGACCUGCUGCCUGCAGACCUAGACAUGUCUGGUUAGGAGGGACCUGCCAAAAAGUAUGUUGUUCUGUGUUGUUGGAGUGUCUAUGUUCUAUCUUUUUCCAAGGGUUCCUGCCAAUUAGCAAGACAGCACAGAUGCAGAGCUACUGCACAGGUCAUGGAAGAGGAAGUUGUUUUUUAGCUACAGCUAAAGAGACCAGUAAUUGA
RNAcentral lists this long non-coding RNA (782 nucleotides) under Parus major (Great Tit). Its description in RNAcentral is "lncRNA (ENSPMJG00000015767.1)". The record is from RNAcentral. Lineage: Eukaryota; Metazoa; Chordata; Aves; Passeriformes; Paridae.